This 530-nucleotide ribosomal RNA is filed under the name uncultured soil bacterium. RNAcentral describes it as "bacterial SSU rRNA". It matches the Rfam family "Bacterial small subunit ribosomal RNA", at positions 55 to 597 of the family's 1533-position model. The record is from RNAcentral.
AUGCAAGUCGAACGCUCUUGCGGCUUCGGUCGCAAGGGAGUGGCGCACGGGUGAGUAGCGCGUGGGAACCUGCCCUGUUGUGGGGGAUAACCGAGGGAAACUUCGGCUAAUACCGCAUGCGCCCCGGGCCCUGGUCUUCGGAUUAGGUUUCGGGGGAAAGAUUUAUCGCAGCAGGAGGGGCCCGCGUCGGAUUAGGUAGUUGGUGGGGUAACGGCCUACCAAGCCUGUGAUCCGUAGCUGGUCUGAGAGGAUGAUCAGCCACACUGGGACUGAGACACGGCCCAGACUCCUACGGGAGGCAGCAGUGGGGAAUAUUGGACAAUGGGCGCAAGCCUGAUCCAGCAAUGCCGCGUGAGUGAUGAAGGCCUUAGGGUUGUAAAGCUCUUUCGCCCGCGACGAUGAUGACGGUAGCGGGAGAAGAAGCCCCGGCUAACUUCGUGCCAGCAGCCGCGGUAAUACGAAGGGGGCGAGCGUUGUUCGGAAUCACUGGGCGUAAAGGGCGCGUAGGCGGCCCUCUUAGUCGCGUGUGA